RNAcentral lists this ribosomal RNA (280 nucleotides) under uncultured bacterium. RNAcentral describes it as "partial 16S ribosomal RNA". It matches the Rfam family "Bacterial small subunit ribosomal RNA", at positions 773 to 1060 of the family's 1533-position model. The record is from RNAcentral.
GUGGAUUAGAUACCCUGGUAGUCCACGCCGUAAACGAUGGAUACUAGCUGUUCGGCGCAAGUUGAGUGGCUAAGCGAAAGUGAUAAGUAUCCCACCUGGGGAGUACGCACGCAAGUGUGAAACUCAAAGGAAUUGACGGGGGCCCGCACAAGCGGUGGAGCAUGUGGUUUAAUUCGAUGAUACGCGAGGAACCUUACCAGGGCUUAAAUGUAGAUUGACAGGUCUGGAAACAGACUUUUCUUCGGACAAUUUACAAGGUGCUGCACGGUCGUCGCCAACU